RNAcentral lists this transfer RNA (72 nucleotides) under Ictidomys tridecemlineatus (thirteen-lined ground squirrel). Its description in RNAcentral is "Spermophilus tridecemlineatus (thirteen-lined ground squirrel) tRNA". It matches the Rfam family "tRNA". From Rfam's summary of the family: Transfer RNA (tRNA) molecules are approximately 80 nucleotides in length. Their secondary structure includes four short double-helical elements and three loops (D, anti-codon, and T loops). Lineage: Eukaryota; Metazoa; Chordata; Mammalia; Rodentia; Sciuridae. The record is from Rfam by way of RNAcentral.
GGAGUUGUGGCUCAGUGGUAGAGUGGUUGCCUAGCAUGCAUAAGGCACUGGGUUCGAUUCUCAGCAGCACAU